RNAcentral lists this ribosomal RNA (253 nucleotides) under uncultured bacterium. RNAcentral describes it as "partial 16S ribosomal RNA". It matches the Rfam family "Bacterial small subunit ribosomal RNA", at positions 524 to 776 of the family's 1533-position model. The record is from RNAcentral.
UACAGAGGGUGCAAGCGUUGCUCGGAAUCACUGGGCGUAAAGCGUGCGCAGGCGGCUUUGCAAGACAGAUGUGAAAUCCCCGGGCUCAACCUGGGAACUGCAUUUGUGACUGCAAGGCUAGAGUACGGCAGAGGGGGAUGGAAUUCCGCGUGUAGCAGUGAAAUGCGUAGAUAUGCGGAGGAACACCAAUGGCGAAGGCAAUCCCCUGGGCCUGUACUGACGCUCAUGCACGAAAGCGUGGGGAGCAAACAGG